Myodes glareolus (Bank vole) is the source of this 4174-nucleotide non-coding RNA. The record is from RefSeq and is a predicted model, not a curated record. Lineage: Eukaryota; Metazoa; Chordata; Mammalia; Rodentia; Cricetidae.
CUUCGAGUCUGCCGCAUAGAUUUCUGGGAGUUGAGGUCUGGGACCUGUUUGCCCAAGUUAGUGAUAGGGGCCUGCGGAAACAUGAAGAGGAUAAAUAGCUGUGUGAAGAAUGAAGAGCAUGUCCUGGAGGAGUUGGAAACAGAAGGUGAGAGGCAGCUGAAGAGCCUCCUUCAACAUCAACUUGAUACCUCUGUCUCCAUUGAAGAAUGUGUCUCUAAGAAAGAGAGCUUUGCCCCGGGUACCAUGUACAAGCCCUUUGGGAAGGAAGUAGCCGGGACAAUGACUUUAUCCCAGUUUCAGACACUACAUGAAAAAGACCAGGAAACUGCUUCUCUCAGGGAACUAGGGCUCAAUGAAACAGAAAUACUGAUCUGGAAAAGCCAUGUUUCAGGUGAAAAGAGGACGAAGCUGAGGGCAACCCCUGAAGCAAUACAGAAACGGCUUCAAGAUAUUGAAGAAAGGAUCUCAGAGCGCCAGCGCAUCCUUUGCCUGCCACAGAGGUUUUCAAAGAGCAAACAACUGACCAGGCGAGAAAUGGAAAUUGAAAAGUCUUUAUUUCAGGGAACUGAUCGUCACUCCUUCCUUAAGGCUCUUUAUUACCAAGCAUACCACAAAAAGACAAGUGCAGACAAGUACAUGACCUCAAUGAAGAGGAAGAUAAAAUUAGGCACAAAAGAUGAACCCCCAAAGAAGAACAAAGGUGAUCCCAUGAACAACCUGGAAAGUUUUUACCACGAGACUAUAAUGAAAAAGCGUCUUGAAGAGUUCCAACUUAUGAGAGGUGAACCCUUUGCUUCCCACUCACUGGUCUCAGCUACGUCAGUGGGUGAUAGUGGCACAGCUGAGAACCCAUCACUACUCCGGGACAAGGGAAAGCAGGCAGCACAGGGUAAAGGCCCCAGUCUCCAUGUGGCAAAAGUUAUUGAUUUUCCACCUGAGCAGUGUUGGACUGGGCCUAAGAAGCUGACGCAACCAAUAGAAUUUAUCCCUGAAGAUGAGAUCCAGAGAAACCGUUUAUCAGAGGAGGAGAUCCGAAACAUCCCUAUGUUUUCUUCAUAUAACCCAGGGGAACCAAACAAGGUGCUAUACCUGAAGAACCUUAGUCCUCGGGUGAAAGAAAGGGACCUUAUCUCAUUAUUCGCUCGCUUCCAGGAGAAAAAAGGACCUCCCAUUCAGUUCCAAAUGAUGACUGGACGCAUGAGAGGGCAGGCUUUCAUCACCUUUCCCAGGAACUCUUCUGAGAUACACUACUACAACAUGGAAGAACCCUGAGAAUAUGUUCAGUGAAAGAAGCCAGUUACUGCUGAUGGAAAAUUGUAGCAAUCCAUGUAGAUGUAGAUGUAGAUGAAGUAUCCAGAAUUGGUCACAUGCACGCGCACACAAACACACAGAGUGAUAAAGGGUGAGCCGAAGCCACUAAAUCCAAAUCUCUUUAUUACUUACUUUUCUAUUGCUGUGAUAGACACCAUAGCCAAGGCUUUUCCAUCUCAUAUUUUUGGACCUUGUUGACUGCUGAUAACUGUUACCAUGAAAACAAACUACUGAGAAGGGAGAGCAACUGCAUUAAGGCAAGCCUUUUGUUUCCAUAACAACAAAUACCUGAGAUAAACAGUUUAAAGAAAGAUUUAUAGACACAUUUUGGAUGCGUGUGUAUAGUAAAUAAAUAUGCCGAUUCGAGUGUCCACAACAUACAGAUUUAUAAUAUCUACAUAGAGGCAUCUUUUUGGAUGUGUAAACCUAUGUGUCACGGCACUCAUGGAGUGGCAAAAGGAUAACCUUCCAGUGUUGGGCCUUAUCUUUCCCUCUUGUUUCAGACAGGGUCUCUUUGCCACAGCAUUAGUUAGGCUAGGUGGUCUGUGCACUUCAGGUUGUCCUGUCUCUGCCUCUCAUAUUCUUUUAGGGAGAUACCUGUGCUACUGCACCCUUAGAUUCUAGGGGUCCUGGUCGAGGUUAUCAAGCUUGCAGGACAAGCACUUCUCAUCUGCCCAGUUCUAUAAAAGUGUCUUCACUCACCUGACAACAGAAUUCCUAGAGAAACUUUAUAAGCAAUUGGGGUAAGUCAGGUUUUCACAAUGCUUGAUGAAAAACAUUAGAAACAAGAAUAGUCACCAAAGCUAUCUUUUGGAAAUGAAGAAGAGAUAAGACAUUUUCAAACAAAAACUGAAAAAGUAUGCCCACCACACCUGUUCUACAAAAGCUUCAAACUGAGAGAUACUAAUGGGUAAGAAGAAAACAUUGGAAGGUAUAAAAAACUCUGAUAGGAGUGAAUAUCAAAUCCAGAAUGCUCUAAUAUUAUGAGCACAAUGCAUAAAGCAAUCAAUUUUAGGAUGAAUCAAAAGCAAAUGAAUUAAAAUAAUUAUAAUACUUUAUUUAAAAAUAAAGAUGUAAAAUCUUUACAUAUCAAUGAAUAUUUACAUAUCAAUUUAAAAUGUGGUAAAGAGUGCAGUGUUCAUUAUAGUUCACAAGAUCUAAGAGAUGAGAUCAAGUGAGGUAUAUGCUAAUUGAUGGAUAAGGAAAAUAUAGUAAAAGCUGAUGAGAUGGCUCAAUGGAUAAAGCACUUGCUGUACUUGACUUUAAUUCCUAGGACCCAUGACAAAAGAAGUGACCCCCACAAGUUGUCUCUACACAAAUUGUAGCACACAUGUGCUCCCCAUAAAAAUUUUAUAUGCCAAAAUAUGCUAUCUCAUUUCUUUCCUAAUGCUGUGAUAAAACACCAUAACACCAUGACUAAGGGAACUUUUAAAGGAAGCUUUUAGGCUAGAGAAGUAGCUAAGUGUUUAGAAGCACUGGCUGCUCUUCCACAAGCCCUGGGUUCAAUUCCCAGCACUUCCACAGUGGUUCACAACCAUCUGUAACUCUAGUUCCAGGAAAUCUGAUGCCUUCUGGCCACCUUGGACAACAAUCACACAUGUGAUGCAGAAACAUCCAUGCAGGUGAAGCACUCAUACACACAAAAUGAUAAUAAAAGGAUCUUUAAAAUUCAGCAUUAAAUUUGGCUUAUAGCUGCAGAGGGUUAGCAUCCAUGACAGAACAGAGGCAUGGAGACAAGAACAGUUGAGAGCUCACAUCUUGCUCCUCAAAUAGGAGGCAGAAAGGAGGCACACUGGGAAUGGUGCAAGUCUCUGGAAACCUCAAAGCUCUCCCUGAGUGACAUACCUCUUCCAACAAUCCUGUCCAAACAUUUCCACCAUCCUGGGACCAAAUAUUGCAAUGUAUGAGCUCGUAGGGGCCAUGUCCAUUCAAGUUACCACAUAUGCAAUAAAAUAUUAAUAACAUGGAAAUAAUAAAUUUCUGUUAUUUGUGGCAACAUAUAUGGAAGACAUUAAGUCAUUCAAAGAAAAACAAAAUACUUUGCUUUUCUCAUUCAUAUGUGGAAGAGGGAGAGUAGAAUAGCAGCCAUUAGAGGCUUAGUUAUAGAAUACAGAAUAACAGCUAUUAGAGGCUGUUAUAGAAUACAAAGACUUUCAUUAUUUCCCUACCAUCAUUCUUCAGCAUCUAAGUAUCGUGUUAGCAUAUCUUGGGGUUGUAUUCAUCAAAAUGUUUAAUUUAAAAAAGUUAUUUGGUUUGUUUACUUGAGCAUCCUAAAAUAUAAAAUAUUAAAUCUUGGCUUGGAGUUAGUGCAGAACUUCCAACAAUUUCUGAAAUGGCUUUAAACAUAUUUCUCAUGACUUUGCAGUACAUAUGCAAUAAAGUGAUAUUCUCUGCAUUAAUCAAAAUACCAACCUACUCUAAAGAGUACUGAAUAUCUACAUUCUAAAUAUUAAAUAUUCAGACAAUAUUAAAUUCUUUGUGUUCAAACAUCUCAUCAGUUGCAAAUUUCCUUUCACAUGUAAAAAUUGUAAAAUUAUAUGCAUAGCAAAGAAUUGUUUUAAAAUAAAUUAUGAAUUAUGGUCAGUAAGUGUUUGAUUCGUUUAUCUAUUUUAUAUAUCUACAUAUAAACCUCAGGUUUAUAUGAAAAAGAUUGUAAGUGGAAAAAAUAUAAAGAGCCCUAUUUUCUAGCUCAGUAGUGUGACUAGUUUACAAACUACUCUACUUAGUACAAAAUAACAGAGUUGACACUGGAGGUCUACAGGCAGAAAUGUUACUUUUCUUCCUUUAGUUACUGUAUAUUGUAUACAUGUUACAGUAUACCACAUAUUGGAAUAAUUGUAUGUCAAUAAAAAUGUUUUGUGUU